Molecule: long non-coding RNA, 4666 nt
Organism: Numida meleagris (helmeted guineafowl)
Lineage: Eukaryota; Metazoa; Chordata; Aves; Galliformes; Numididae
Exons: 2
Source: RefSeq, a predicted model, not a curated record
GCGCAGCCGGCCCGCAAAGAGCGUAACCGGCGGCAGCAGCCCGCGGACGGCCGGGCUGGGGCACGGGGAGGAGCCUCAGCGCUGUGCCGCCUCUUCCCGAGGCUCGGCACAUCCCCACCCCUCACCCGGAGCCGCUCUCCCCGGCAGGGCGCCUGCGCGGCGCCGCGUUCGCCCCGCGGGGCUCGGAGGGCGGGUCACAGAGGCGUGGUUGUGAUGUGUUGAUCUGCAGUUCGGGUGUGCGCCGUGUGCACUGCUGUUCUAAGCCCAGUACCUCACAAAACCAUUGGAGUCACUAGAGUUAUUUCGAUAAGAAAACGAGGAGAGCGAGCUUUUAAUUCCAGUUCGGCAGCUGUGUUCUCCAUACAUGGAGUAGUGGUUGAAAUGCCAGCAGCCAUGUUGAGGAGAGUGGCUGACACGUUGAGCGUGCUUAGGAACGUGCCCACAGCCCCACAGCUUUGGGGAGACGUGGCUAAGGGAGGCAUAGCAGUUCCAAAAUCCAGACUUGAAAUGAAAGAUGGGUGUCUACGUAGCUGUGAGAAAAUGGGACAAAACAACGUUGCAAUACUUCCGCAGUCCCUGUAGGUGUUCUAGAGCUGUGGAGAUGUGGCACUGAAGGACAAGAAUGGUGUGAAACUUCUGGGGUGAACUGGAGACAGCUGAAGCAAUCCUGCUGGCAGGUUGCGAAAGCUGGUCUCUGUUCUGUGAGCCACCUCAAGAGCUACUGAAACGUCUCUGCUCUAGCAGAACCAACACACAGUUGAAGGCUCCAAGCACCAGUACGAUGCCCUGGAGGACGACUAGCCUGAACAAGAAGUGGCACUUAGCCUUCCUGCUGCACCAUGCACCCCUGCGAGGUGAGGUGAGGUGCUGUUAGCUUCCCCAUGUAAUUUGGUUUUGACAGAGCCUGGGUAGUGUGUGCUUUAGCUCUGUAAAAACAAAAAUCACAAUUACAGAGCAAAACAGUGUUAUCAGCAUGUCCAAUGUUAUGAGUAGAUACCAAAGGUUAAUGUUCACUCAUCUGUGGUCACACCCUGGCAAAUGCAGCAAGGAGCAGCAGCAAUUCAGCUGGAUUCUCUCAUGGUGGCCAGCAUUUCUGUAUCGAGACUGUGUAUCCCCUGCCUCCUGUCCUAGGAACUGCCACAGGGCCAUGAGCUUUGCAAGAGGGAAGACAGGUUACAGUGCUCUUGUACUUCUUGAACUAAAGACUACACAAGUGAGACAAAACUCAGUCUGGAAAAAUAUAUAAAGGGUUGUUUCUGCUUCUUCAUAUGGCCUUUCCAAAAUGCAAUGAGAAAAAUGCCCACCUUCAAUUUUCUGUACUCAUGACAGAGCCACUCUUUGGUUCCUCAGUCCUUUCUGUCUUCUUUAAGGUUGACAGCAGAGGACUGGAAUUGAGUUUUUUAUGAUCACUAGUCACUACAUCCAUGGGAGGAAAUUACUUUUUUAUUAUUUGAUGGCGCUGUGCACUCAAGUUCAUCUCUCAGUAUCAUCCCAUUAAGGGAGAUCUGGCCAAAAGCUUUUCAACACUCUCCUGCAUCAAGAAAAAUUUCCAUCCUGGAGUUCUGAUGAGAGAUCUGACAGCCAGUUUGUCUUCAAUCUUCUCCCUAACAGCCAGGAAAUGACUAAGUGCAGACAUUACAUAAACUGCACUUCCAACUCAGUAAUGCUAAUUUUUUAUCUUCUCUCUAUUGAAAUGGGUUGAAAACCCAGGGAUUCAGACAAAAUGUAUACCAGUGCAGAGACUUGGGAGCACUUUGACACAACAGCUUUUAAAGAGUGCAUGGACCAGCACCCUAAAUUUCUCAGAAAGCCUCCACAACCCACACCGCACAUGUUGUGCCCUCUGGGAGGACUGAUGCAGGCAACCCUCUCUUAUCCUGUGUUGAGAAUGAGAAAGUGCCAAGGCUCUGCACCUGCCCCUGCCAGCAGCCUUGUUGGAUCAGGGAGCAGGGAAGGAACACAGUGAGCCUCUGGCUGCCAAUGAAGGCUCACUCCCGCUAUAUGUGUGCCAAAAACUAUUCCUCGUUCUACAACUCAAGCCAGAGUGACAUGAAAGCAAGGAUGUCCAGAAAGACAGUGGCUGCCAGACACUAGCUGUGAUUAAUCCCAGAGAAUUUGGGAAGACUCAGAGCCAUAUUCUAAUCACACUACUGUUGCCUAGAUACCAUGUGGGGAGGAGGGAAGAGAAUCUGUGUUUGGGUGACUGUCUCCUUGCUGCACCUGAACUCUGAAUUGCUGAGGCUGUUGCAGACACACUGCUGAAAUACAGUGACUUGGGCUGAUUCUAGUUUGGACAUCAGUUUUAAAGUGCUCAGAACUACUAACUACAGAGAAAAUUAGUUUUGACCUUCAUUAUGGUGAUAGAGGUGCUGGCAAAGGGCAACACACUCUCAUUGUCAACCAGAAACAGAUACUGGUAUUUCCAGUCCUUCUUCUGAGACUGUCUUAACUUGCAGGAAGGUAAUGAUUGAGAUUAAUCCUUUCAUCUUUAUAACACUACUGGAAAAGAAAAGGGGCGGGGGGGGGGAAACAGUGUUUGUAGUCUGGCCAUAAAAUUAUUUGCUCGGUAAAGUCAAUUGCAUUUCCACUGUAUUUCAUUCUGUGUGAUGUCUACAAUACCAAUUUAUGAGAAAACAGAUCACUGGGGAGAACUGUGAUCAACUAGUUUUCCAUCACUUAUGCAGGAUGUUGUAACAGUGUACUGCUUAACUAGCCCCAGCAAAAAUGCAUGAAUGUUAUUUGAGCUUCUUAAUUACCACUAUUAACCUAUUGCUUCCUGAGACUUGCACUGCUACAGCAUGCCUACAUGCAUACUUUUUUUGUGUCUGUAGGCAAUGCCAUUGUCAGGUGGCAGCAGGCAUUUGUUUUAUCACUUCUUGGCAGCCAGACCACUACAAGUCUGGAGGAGAAUCAGGCCCUCCCUUUGCUUGGGUAGCAACAAGAGCACCAUUAUUUGAGGAGAGAAAAAUUGCCUGUAGUUGUGUUGAAAGCUCUUGUCUUUAUUAGUAGAAGUAUUAAUGUUUCCCAGUGUGCUCUGAAUUUAUAGUCAAAUGUUUUGCUUUCAGUUUGGAGAUGCUUGUAAAAGCUGCCUGCUUCAGAAGCUGGUGUACAGCCUUACAGUUUGAAGGCUCUCCUCAGGCUGAUUGGAGUUAAAGCCCUUGCUCUUCUCUAGGGGAGAGCAAGUUCAUCUGUGCAAAGUAAGAACACCUAAUACAGAGAUGAACAAAGUUGACUUAAAAUGCCACUAAAUACUGACACCAUUCCUCAGAAAGGCUAAAUGUCCUAAAGUCAUGUGGUAGGAAGCAAGAAGAGUGGACCAUACUAAAAUGUAAUGAAUAUGAGACCAAGUUCCUAAGCAGUUCUAGCCAUAGACCUCUCCAUCAAGUUAAGCAGAUUGCUACCUACUUAGAUUCAGUGCUUCCUUUUCAGCCCAGAGAGAGCGGCAAUAGCCAGGAGCAAGGGCAGAGCUGCAACUAGCCAGGGUGUUAAGCCAUCUGUAGUUAAAUCACAUCUGUAGCCUACUGGUAGACUGAUUUGAAUGGGAAGAAUGGAGUAACGUGAGUUAGUAGCUUUGAUACAAAGGAUGCCAAGAUCUGGCCUGCAAGAUUUAAUACUUUAAUCUGCUGCCCAAGUGUAUCCCUGCUGUAAUCACAGCCACAGCGCAGUCCUUGAGUAGCUGAAGAUUAGAGAAAAACUGAUAAUCCCAGGUGUGUCACACACAUGAAAGCUAUUAAGUGGAUUUACAGAGGACAUAAGGUAUAUAGAAACUCAUUAUUUUCCCACUGAGACAAAACUGUUCAUUAAUAUAUGACAGAGAGCAUACUCUGGAAAAUUGGAAGUGAGUAUUGAAAAUGAACAAAUCCCAAUAGUCCUAACACAUAUGUGAUGAACUGGUUAUUAAUAUUCAAUCCAGCAAGCUCUGUCACUAAGGUUGAGUACCAUUUCUGAUGAUAUUUGUAAGUCUACAUGCCCUAGAUGGUACUCAUCUCCAGUGUUAGAAAAAGUAACUCUAAAAUCCAGGAUCUCACUGCAGUCAACGCAAAUUUCAGGCAGAAGGGUAUGGAUUUAAGUUCACACGCACAAAAACAACAACAACAGAGUUCAAUUUAAAAUGUGACUUCAGACAUUUCCAUUGCAGCUGAUACAUUAAUUAUGCCACAAUUAUAUUAAUUUGGUCUUUAAAGUCUCACUUGCAAAAUCUUCUUGUGUGAGCAAUUACAGUAAGCAACAGCUCUGCUUUGGUUUCAUUGCACCUGCUGUCCCCAGGCUGUACCAGUUAAUUGUGAUUGUUUAUCCCAUCGUACUCUUCGCUACUAAUUUGCUUGGCACCAUGAAGAAACAUCACACCACUUACAAAGCGCUGUUAAAUCCUGGCAGCAAAAAGGCUGAAAAAUGGAGGCAGGUUUUUGGAGGAUGCAAAAUGGAGGCUGAUUUUUGGAGGCUGAAAAAUGGAAGCUGAAAAAUGGAGGCUGGUUUUUGGAGACUGAAAAAUGGAGGCUGGAUUUUGGAGGCUGAAAAAUGGAGGCUGAAAAACGGAAGCAGAAAAAUAAAGGCUUAAAAAUGGACGCUGAAAAAUGGAGGCGGAUUUUGGAGGUUGAAAAAUGGAGGCUGUAAAAUGCAGUCUGAAAAUGGAGGCUGAAAAAUGGAAGCUGAAAAAUGGAGGUUG